UACGUAGGAUGCAAGCGUUGUCCGGAAUUACUGGGCGUAAAGGGCGCGCAGGCGGUGUGCCAAGUCAGAUGUGAAAUACUCCGGCUUAACCGGAGGGGGUCGUUUUGAAACUGGCAGACUAGAGUACAACAGAGGAUAGUGGAAUUCCCGGUGUAGUGGUGAAAUGCGUAGAUAUCGAGAGGAACACCUGCGGCGAAGGCGGGUAGCUGGGCCGACACUGACGCUGAGGCGCGAAAGCCAGGGGAGCGAACGGG
This 254-nucleotide ribosomal RNA is filed under the name uncultured bacterium. RNAcentral's name for it is "partial 16S ribosomal RNA". It matches the Rfam family "Bacterial small subunit ribosomal RNA", at positions 524 to 776 of the family's 1533-position model. The record is from RNAcentral.